GACGAACGCUGGCGGCGUGCUUAACACAUGCAAGUCGAACGAGGAAUCUACGGAUCGAGGAUUCGUCCAAGAGAAGUAGAGGACAGUGGCGGACGGGUGAGUAACGCGUGAGGAACCUGCCUUUCAGAGGGGGACAACAGUUGGAAACGACUGCUAAUACCGGAUACGUCCGCAAGGAGAAAGAUUUAUCGCCGAAGGAUCGGCCCGCGUCCGAUUAGCUAGUUGGUGAGGUAAUGGCUCACCAAGGCGACGAUCGGUAGCUGGUCUGAGAGGAUGAUCAGCCACACUGGGACUGAGACACGGCCCAGACUCCUACGGGAGGCAGCAGUGGGGAAUAUUGGACAAUGGGCGCAAGCCUGAUCCAGCCAUGCCGCGUGAGUGAUGAAGGCCCUAGGGUUGUAAAGCUCUUUCGGCGGGGAAGAUAAUGACGGUACCCGCAGAAGAAGCCCCGGCUAACUUCGUG
Molecule: ribosomal RNA, 463 nt
Filed under: uncultured bacterium
Lineage: Bacteria
Description: bacterial SSU rRNA
Rfam family: Bacterial small subunit ribosomal RNA
Source: RNAcentral